Molecule: long non-coding RNA, 3036 nt
Organism: Lagopus muta (rock ptarmigan)
Lineage: Eukaryota; Metazoa; Chordata; Aves; Galliformes; Phasianidae
Exons: 9
Source: RefSeq, a predicted model, not a curated record
CUGCCUCCUUGGGACCAUUGGGAGUGAGUUCUGCCCUUUGGAAUGGGGUCUGUCAGCAGAAGGAGCAGCAACUGCACCUGGAGAUUGCUUCCUUUAGAGCGUGGGGUGAACCCUUGAAACUGGGACUGUGACCUUUCCUGUUUUUGGGGCAUCCUGACCACAUUGAAGUGUUGGCAGAUGUAAGGGCAGCAUUGAUCUCUGGAGACUGUCUCCUGUGGAGCAGGGGGCUGUUAUGCACUGCUUCCAACCAUGCAGAGUUGUUUAAGGGCGUUCUGUGCACCCUUAGGUGUAAUAAAUCUUCAUCUUUAUAGAAAGCCAAGGAUUGUCCUCUUCUGGACUGCUGUACUCAGUAUCACCCCAGUGUGAUGAAGUGAAGCCCCUGCUCUGCUGAAUACUGGGACUGGCCCAGAGAGGCUCUGAUGGAUGUGGAUUAUCCUAGCCAGAGUACUUGGUACCAUUGGUGGUGAUCUCGUCCAACUGCCACACAAUGAACAGGAACAUCCACAGCCAGAUCUGGCUGCCCAGAGGCUGACCCAGCCUCACCUUGGAAGGGAUGGGGCAUCCAUCACAUGUCUGGGGACUUCACCUGACUGCCUCGACUUCUCAAAUACCACUGAGAGUGGCUCGGUGACUGCAGCGGUGAAUUCCCUCAGGGCUCUGGGACUCGUCUCAUCAGGACCCAAAGACUCCUGGAUGUCAGGUUCUCAGGUGGCUGCGGAGUUGCAGCGCUCCCAAGUGCCGUAACGACUGCAUGGAGAUGCGUGGCUCUUCAUGGGAACAGCAAGGAACCGGAAUCUGCAUUUCCUGGAAUGCCCCAGAGCCUCGCUUUGCUGGCUGGUAAUUGUCUGCCCAGCAGGUGGCAGCAGAGCUGCGUUGCUCCUGAGCACUUUAAGGACAGCACAGAGAUGCGCGGCUCUUCACGGCAGCAGCAGAAACUGAAAUCUGCAUUUCCUGGAACGCCCCGGAACCUUGCUUUGCUGGCCGGUAAUUGUCUGCCCAGCAGGUGAAGAUGCCUUUGAUGCUUCCAGUUGAUGGCUUCCCCCCUGCAAUGCCAUCAUCUUUCCAGUCCUCCCACACUCACCGCCAGCUCGGUUCAGUCCAGCUUUUACCUGAAUCCCUGCUCUGUUCCCUUUCCUGAGCGCUGUAAGGACAGCAUGGAGAUGCGCGGCUCUUCAUGGCAGCAGCAGGAACCGGAAUCUGCAUUUCCUGGAACGCCCCGGAACCCCACUUUGCUGCCUGGUAAUUCUCUGCCCAGCAGGUGAAGAUGCCUUCGAUGCUUCCAGUCGAUGACUUCCCCCCGCGAUGCCAUUGGCUUUCCUGGCCUCCCACAGUCACCGCCAGCUCAGUUCAGUUGAGCCGUUACCCGAAUCCCCACUCCGUUCCCUUUCCAUGAUCUUCCUGUCACUCUGCCACAAGUCCCCACCAAGGUCAUCGCAGGCAACGUGUGGGAUGCAGCACUCGGUCUCAUUACAGUUCAUCCCAUCAGCUUCAGCCCAGCGAUCCAACCCACCCGCACCCUUCCUGAGGGCCCUUCUGCUCCCAGGCCAAUCAACGCUUCCUUCUGAUGCCAUCUGCGUUCCUUCCUGCCCACUAUCAGACUCGUGCCCCUUUGUGGCCAUUUUGAGAGUUGCGCUGAUUUCAGCGUCUGCAUUCAAUUGACUUCAACCAAAUUGGCUUUAGUUUUACAUUCACUUAAUGUAAACCAAAUUGGCUUUAGUUUUACAUUCGAUUAAUGUAAACCAAAUUGGCUUUAAGUUGGCCUUGCUUACGGGGUUGGGUUAGCUUUGCUUUGUUUGUUCUAGCGCAGGGCUAACCCAACCCCGUAACCAAGGGCCGGUGGAGGCGAUUUUGUUCCUUCCCGGCCAGUCUGAGACUCGUGCCCCCUUGUGGCCAUUUGAAGAAUUGCGCUAAUUUCAGCGUCUGCAUUCAAUUGAUCUCAACCAAAUUGGCUUUGGCUUUGCAUUCAACUUACUUCAACCAAAUUGGCUUUAGUUUUACAUCCAAUUAAAUGUAAACCAAAUUGGCUUUAGUUUUACAUCCAAUUAAAUGUAAACCAAAUUGGCUUUAGUUUUACAUCCAAUUAAAUGUAAACCAAAUUGGCUUUAAGUUUGCCUUGCUUACGGGGUUGGGUUAGCUUUGCUUUGUUUGUUCCUAGGCAGGGCUAACCCAACCCCGUAACCAAGGGCCGACGGAGGCGAUUUUGUUCCUUCCUGGCCAGUCUGAGACUCGUGCCCCCUUGUGGCCGUUUGAUGAUCUGUGCUGAUUUCAGCGUCUGCAUUCAAUUGAUCUCAACCAAAUUGGCUUUAGCCUUGCAGUCAUUUUGCAUCAACCAAAUUGGCUUUGGCUUUGCAUUCAACUUAUUUCAACCAAAUUGGCUUUAGUUUUACAUUCAGUUGACUUCAAUCAAAUUGGCUUUAGUUUUACACUCAAUUACUGUAAGCCAAGUUGGCUUUAGUUUUACAUCCAAUUAAUGUAAACCAAAUUGGCUUUAGCAUUGCCUUGCUUACGGGGUUGGGUUAGCUUUGCUUUGUUUGUUCUAGCGCAGGGCUAACCCAACCCCGUAACCAAGGGCCGGCGGAGGCGAUUUUGUUCCUCCCGGCCAGUCUGAGACUCGCGCCCUCUUGUGGCCAUUUGAAGAGUUGCGCUGAUUUCAGCGUCUGCAUUCAAUUGAUCUCAACCAAAUUGGCUUUAGCCUUGCAGUCAUUUUGCAUCAACCAAAUUGGCUUUAGCUUUACAUUCAAUUAUUGUAAACCAAAUUGGCUUUAGUUUUACAUUCGAUUAAUGUAAACCAAAUUGGCUUUAGUUUUUACAUUCGAUUAAUGUAAACCAAAUUGGCUUUAAGUUGGCCUUGCUUACGGGGUUGGGUUAGCUUUGCUUUGUUUGUUCUAGCGCAGGGCUAACCCAACCCCGUAACCAAGGGCCGGUGGAGGCGAUUUUGUUCCUUCCCGGCCAGUCUGAGACUCGUGCCCCCUUGUGGCCAUUUGAAGAGUUGCGCUGAUUUCAGCGUCUGCAUUCAAUUAAUCUCAGCCAAAUUGG